This 253-nucleotide ribosomal RNA is filed under the name uncultured bacterium. RNAcentral's name for it is "partial 16S ribosomal RNA". It matches the Rfam family "Bacterial small subunit ribosomal RNA", at positions 524 to 776 of the family's 1533-position model. The record is from RNAcentral.
UACGGAGGGGGCUAGCGUUGUUCGGAAUCACUGGGCGUAAAGCGCACGUAGGCGGACCAUUAAGUCGGGGGUGAAAUCCCGGGGCUCAACCCCGGAACUGCCUUCGAUACUGGCGGUCUGGAGGUCGAGAGAGGCGAGUGGAAUUCCGAGUGUAGAGGUGAAAAUCGUAGAUAUUCGGAGGAACACCAGUGGCGAAGGCGGGUCGCUGGCUCGAUACUGACGCUGAGGUGCGAAAGCGUGGGGAGCAAACAGG